AGGGGGACAUGCAGGGGUUGGGGGAGCCCUGGCUCUUCCAUCUGCUCAGAUGCCCUGCUUCCCCAUGCUGGUAACCCACAUUUCUGGGAACAGAGCCAUGGAAUCCAGUGGUGGCUCCAGUGUGUGAAAUGUCACUAGAGUCAGCUGAGCAGACCUGGUCGUUUCUACAGAAAUCCAGCCUGCCCAGCUCAUUUCUUGAUGCCUUGCAGGGCCCCAGGAGACCAGGAGAGGCAGCCCCACAUCCCUCCUCUCUCUAGCCUCCCUGCCUCCACCUCACCCCUUUCCAAGGGGUCCUCUACUUUGGCCACACAUCUGCAGCCCCUUGUCAAAAGAAUCAAUUCUAAACCCACCUUGCCUGAUGUCCAAAGCCCUUGAUAGCCCAGCUUAUCUUGUUGGCCUUCCCUUCGGUCCCCUCCCCGCCCAUGUAUCCUAUUCUCCAGAACAAUAUCCUCCUCCCUGGACACACCAGGCUCUAUUACUCUGUGCUUUCUUUGCAAUUUCCGUCCCCUCUGCCGAGAAAGCCACACUCACCACCCUCCCCAGCGCUCACACUAAACUUGGCCUGUGCCCCUUUCCAACCCUUACAAAUGGAGAGCCAAAGACAAGCUUUGUCCUUAAGGAGGUCACAGUUCUCUGGAAGAAACAGGCCUUUUACAGCCAGAGGUCUUUGGGGGAGCCCAGGAGAGCAAGCCUGAACUUGGCCUCUGGCAAUGUGCACAAGCUCUCUAGAGGAGGUGAUCUGACCAGUAGGUGAAUCUCCAGGGCUUAUAUGGCAGAUAAAGGCAGACAGACAGAGUAAAAGGCCUUGCAAGGCAUGAGUCACCCAUUCAUCUGACCAACACUUAAUUCACAAAUAUAAUAAAAUAUCUGCCCUGUGCACCUUGCUAGGAUGCUGUGAGAAGUAAUAAAUCCAUGAUGGGCUUUGUGCAGAGCUGAGGGACCUGCCAGCAAGUCCUGCCAGACCAUAACGGUACUCCCCACAUGAGGUCCCAGCAGAGGUGGGGCUUAUUUUUAGGCUGCCAGAGGCUCUAAAUCUUGAUUGACAGCAUUGGUGCAACUUGUAACCAGGCUUGAAAAGAAAGCCUCUCACUGGAUGAUUUCUUCCAGGGAGCCUAGCAGUGGGGCCUUGGGCAUCCAUAAGUCCUAUUAUUUUUUGAGUCCUUUCUGUGGCUAGAAUAAAUGUCUUGCAAAUCAAAGAUCUACUUUUUUUUCUAAAAUAUGGAUUAGCACUGGGACCAAUGAAAUAAAAAAGCAUCUUAAAGUAGUGAUGCAUUUGUGUGAGCACAGAGAAAGAUGGGUAAGGGUAUCUGAAACCCAAUACUGCUUAUCUGGAUGAGCGGAGAGGGAAAUGGUUAAAUUUUUUUUACUUAUUAGUUUUUUGUACAACUGAAAAAAAAAUUGUUUUAAGUGUUUCUGAAUUCAAAGGCUUUCUGUCAUUGUGCAUCUAUUUGCUUCAUUAACAAAACACAAAAAGAGAACUAUUAUCAGAUGGGUGGUGUGGUCUGUGAAAAUUUUGGACCAGAAUAAAGGACUUUUGCUAUAGAUAUGAUUCACUGAGGACAGGAAAUCUGUGCCAGGAAAUCAGUGAUCAACUUUUCUGGAGCAUGAUCCUGCCGAAUCUAGGUAAUGAUGUUAUAUGUUGAUAUUAUUAGUGCCCCCAUUUUUGAGAUGAGAAAAUAGAAGGUCAGGGAUUUUAAAGAACUUGCCCAAGGUCACACAGCAAACCAGGGGCGGAGCUGAGGCUGGAACCAACCCAGAGCUCUUUCCUCCAAAGCCAGCCCCCCACCUCAGGUGGGGAGCCAACCUGGGGAGCAUCAGUCAGUGUGAAGAACUAGGUGUUUCAACAAAGCCACUGGCAGAGACCUGACCUUUGGUUUGAACAUAGAUGAGCUGCUUCCCCUGGCAGGGGUUAUGGCAGACAGUAGAGUAGCUAUUUGUCAACAAAGACCUUUGCUCCAGGAUUGGGCUUUGAGUAAUUUAUUAACAUCAGUACAACAUCAGUACUGACCAAGAUAAACAGCCAAGUGGCCACACGUGAAGAGAGAGCCUGGGGGCUGGAGUGCUGGGGAAUGGAGGGGGGAAUCUGGGAGCUCCCAUGGGCUCCCAUCUUUUCCCAUCACUCUCUUAUCCUUCCUGCCUGUGGGCUUCAGUUUCCCCAUGAGUCAAAUGAGCAGAGUGGAGCAGCCUAUCUUUACAUAUCUUUUCUACAGGUAAAGCCCAACACAGAACCUGUCCAAGAUCCCACAACAGGUCUGAACUCGAAGCCAGUAUCUUUUCAAGAGUUCAAAUUUCACUUUCUCAGUGAAAUUGCAACAUUCUCCUACCCUUGAACUCCCCAACCUCUCUCACCCUGCUCUCUUAUUUUUUCCCUAGCUCCUUCCAACACAUUAUACUUAUUAUUUGCUUAUUAAGUGCCUUAUUUAUUGGCUCCUCACUAGAAGCAGCCCCACAAGGACAGGGAUCUUGUCUGUCCUGUAUGUCCCUGCUGUAUUCCCCAUGUCUGGAAUGGGGCCAGCCCACGGCACGUGCUCAGUCCACAUUCGGGAAAUGAAUGAGGAGUGGCAGGUAAGACAGAGCUGCCUGAAGAUGAUGAAAGCUGUAAGCCUACAGCCCCCCAGGUUGCAGGGGCCGAGAGCCUGCAGACUGCACGGCAGGGACAAGGGUCCUUAAUUGCUUCCAGAGGGACAUGGAUACAUGUAUGCACACCACCCAGAAGAAUAUCAACCACCCAACCCGUGGAUCCCUCCUGCUGCCCUCAUGGAAUCCACCUUCAUAACUCACGCUGAGGCCUGCUGCCUGACCUGUGAAAUGAAAUGAGAGGAGCCAGGGACAAAGACAGAUGGGCAGAGGCACGGAGAGAAGAGAAGGCAGGCUCAUAAGUGUAACAGAUGGACAAACCUGCCACCAUCUAUUCUCUGGGACAAACAGAUCAUCACUGAAUAGGCUGCAGAAGAGCAAAGAGACAAAUUACCCAGCUGUGACAGUGUCACCUGUUCCUUAUUGAUGGGCUUUUGUGCUCGGGCCCAGCUGCUUCUGAAAAUUGCACAACCCAGCUCCUAUGGGAUCCUCAAACAAGAGUGACAGGGACAAGACAGCUUUUAUGUGUCGGCUGGGGUCUGAGUCACAUUGCCAAGUCUUUGUGUAGCACGCGUCAUAUACAGACAUGAAUUAUGUGACUUUGACAGUGCCACCUUAAAACAUUAACAAAAUGCCACUUUAUGUAUAAAUUGGAAAUCACACAAAUGCCAGAAAAAGAAAACACUUUAACUCCUUAGGUACUGAACAAUUUCAAAGCUGCUGGGAUGAAAUGAAUUAAUGGAUGGAUGAAUGCUACUGCCACAAAGUAGCGCCACAGUACCUGGGAAACAAAUGACCAUAUUCUGUGUCCUUAUGGAGCAAAUCACACCGUAGGCGGGCUUUGGGAUGUAGCAACUGCUUUUUGUGACUAUUGAGCUGUUAUUUUGCCAUUUUCUGUAAACCACUUGUAAAAAGCUGUAACAGCAUCAUUCUAGAACCCACAAAGUAGAGAUGUUAGUGCUGAAAAAUACUCCCCCAAAACGAUACCUUUGGAGUGGCUGUUGGACAUGGUAAAACACCACGAAGACUGAACGACUGACGCGGCAGGUGGUGCUGUUCAUUUAGGAGAGUGUGGGUAGAAAUAAUGCUGCAAAGACACAAAAUAGAAUUGAAAAUAAGAACAUGGUAAGAUGGUUAUGUUUAUGAGUUGUGCAAGCACAUUUCAUUUCCUACUGUACAUUAAUUCCCAUGGGGAAAAGGGUACUGGAAUAUAAAAUUUUGGAUCAUGUUAAAUUUA
Molecule: long non-coding RNA, 3814 nt
Organism: Manis javanica (Malayan pangolin)
Lineage: Eukaryota; Metazoa; Chordata; Mammalia; Pholidota; Manidae
Source: RefSeq, a predicted model, not a curated record